AUACGGAGGGUGCGAGCGUUAAUCGGAAUUACUGGGCGUAAAGCGCGCGUAGGUGGUUUUGUAAGUCGGAUGUGAAAGCCCCGGGCUCAACCUGGGAAUUGCAUUCGAUACUGCAAGACUUGAGUACAGUAGAGGAGAGUAGAAUUCCUGGUGUAGCGGUGAAAUGCGUAGAUAUCAGGAGGAAUACCAGUGGCGAAGGCGACUUCCUGGGCAAAUACUGACGCUGAGGUGCGAAAGCGUGGGGAGCAAACAGCAUUAGAAACCCCAGUAGUCC
RNAcentral lists this ribosomal RNA (274 nucleotides) under uncultured bacterium. RNAcentral's name for it is "partial 16S ribosomal RNA". It matches the Rfam family "Bacterial small subunit ribosomal RNA", at positions 523 to 796 of the family's 1533-position model. The record is from RNAcentral.